This 256-nucleotide ribosomal RNA is filed under the name uncultured bacterium. RNAcentral's name for it is "partial 16S ribosomal RNA". It matches the Rfam family "Bacterial small subunit ribosomal RNA", at positions 521 to 776 of the family's 1533-position model. The record is from RNAcentral.
UAAUACGGAGGGGGCUAGCGUUGUUCGGAAUUACUGGGCGUAAAGCGCACGUAGGCGGCUUUGUAAGUUAGAGGUGAAAGCCCGGGGCUCAACCCCGGAACUGCCUUUAAGACUGCAUCGCUUGAACGUCGGAGAGGUGAGUGGAAUUCCGAGUGUAGAGGUGAAAUUCGUAGAUAUUCGGAAGAACACCAGUGGCGAAGGCGGCUCACUGGACGACUGUUGACGCUGAGGUGCGAAAGCGUGGGGAGCAAACAGG